This 253-nucleotide ribosomal RNA is filed under the name uncultured bacterium. Its description in RNAcentral is "partial 16S ribosomal RNA". It matches the Rfam family "Bacterial small subunit ribosomal RNA", at positions 524 to 776 of the family's 1533-position model. The record is from RNAcentral.
UACGAAGGGUGCAAGCGUUACUCGGAAUUACUGGGCGUAAAGCGUGCGUAGGCGGUUUGUUAAGUCUGAUGUGAAAGCCCUGGGCUCAACCUGGGAAUUGCAUUGGAUACUGGCAGGCUAGAGUGCGGUAGAGGAUGGCGGAAUUCCCGGUGUAGCAGUGAAAUGCGUAGAGAUCGGGAGGAACAUCUGUGGCGAAGGCGGCCAUCUGGACCAGCACUGACGCUGAGGCGCGAAAGCGUGGGGAGCAAACAGG